UCGGCCAAUCCUGAGGGUUCCCACACCAGCGUGGCCCGCCCUUCGCCUAACCCUUCCGGGAGACGCAUCUCAAGGGGAGCAGCGCCGCCAACUGCCGAGCGAUGGCGCGCGGCGCUCGCUUAAGAGGGCGGGAAGGGCGGUGCUCGAGUCCGCGGUGAUUGGCAGGUGAGAAUGGGCGUUGAUAAAGCAGAUUCUUUGAGAGAUUAUUGGCUGAGUAGCCUCAGGGGGCGGGAGGAGAGGAAGACUUGGCUUGGGAUUCGUGAGAAAGAAGCGGAAGUCGGCCGCCGGCGCGGAGGAGGUGGGUGUGAAGAGAAAGAAGGGGUGUUUGCAGCUUCGGCGCCUGUCAACAGGUGAGCGUUACCGGGAACUUCUCUGAGGGGCUCCUGGCUCCUUAGGCCCAGCGGCGGCGGAGUCCGUUGUGAACGUUUGGACUCACCCCUGCAGGUAGAUGGAGCAGCGGUAAUGCGGCGCUGGGGCCCGGGACCUGGCUGUCAGCCCAGUUCGAAUCCCUCCCUCGCCUCCUCGUGGGCCGCUGGGAGUUGUGUCAGGUGCACGACACUGCGCAGUGAAAGACGAAGAUGAAGACCCCCUGGAAGGCGUUGAAGGUGGUGAAGAGAUAGGCCAUGACUACCGACUCCUUAUUGAUGAAGAGGAGGCCGAAAGCCCAGGAAGAGCAGCUCAGCCAGGAAGAGGUUGAUGCACAGGUUCUUGUGGAUGGUAUUGCGGUCAGUCUGCA
Long non-coding RNA from Eptesicus fuscus (big brown bat), 736 nucleotides. RefSeq lists it as uncharacterized. Lineage: Eukaryota; Metazoa; Chordata; Mammalia; Chiroptera; Vespertilionidae. The record is from RefSeq and is a predicted model, not a curated record. The transcript has 3 exons.